Molecule: ribosomal RNA, 500 nt
Filed under: uncultured bacterium
Lineage: Bacteria
Description: partial 16S ribosomal RNA
Rfam family: Bacterial small subunit ribosomal RNA
Source: RNAcentral
AUUGAACGCUGGCGGCAUGCCUCACACAUGCAAGUCGAACGGCAGCACGGGAGCAAUCCUGGUGGCGAGUGGCGAACGGGUGAGUAAUAUAUCGGAACGUGCCCAGUCGUGGGGGAUAACGUAGCGAAAGCUACGCUAAUACCGCAUACGAUCUAUGGAUGAAAGCGGGGGAUCGCAAGACCUCGCGCGAUUGGAGCGGCCGAUAUCAGAUUAGGUAGUUGGUGAGGUAAAGGCUCACCAAGCCGACGAUCUGUAGCUGGUCUGAGAGGACGACCACCCACACUGGGACUGAGACCCGGCCCAGACUCCUCCGGGAGGCAGCAGUGGGGAAUUUUGGACAAUGGGCGAAAGCCUGAUCCAGCAAUGCCGCGUGCAGGAUGAAGGCCUUCGGGUUGUAAACUGCUUUUGUACGGAACGAAAAGGUUUGGCCUAAUACGCUGAACUCAUGACGGUACCGUAAGAAUAAGCACCGGCUAACUACGUGCCAGCCGCCGCCGUAA